Long non-coding RNA from Lactuca sativa (garden lettuce), 1249 nucleotides. RefSeq lists it as uncharacterized. The record is from RefSeq and is a predicted model, not a curated record. NCBI's taxonomy places the organism in Eukaryota, Viridiplantae, Streptophyta, Magnoliopsida, Asterales, Asteraceae.
UGGUAAAAUAAGGCUUGUUAAAAAUUGACCGAUAUCAUAUGGCCAAUUUUUAGGAGGAGCCCACAAUAACCACAGUACAUUUGUGUAAAGAUAAUUAGCCCAAUUGUUUUUUUAUUAUAUGGUGCGCAUAUGGGCUGGCCAGCUUUGGGCCCAUUGGUUUUCUCAUUUGUUGCGUCUUGGGGAUAGAAGGAUUCCAGCCAACAUCUUAUUUUCCCAAUCUCUCAAGUGGGGAGCCAAAAAGGAACACGUCGGUGAUUGGGUAUCUUGUGUGUCCUAGACAUCUUGCCGGCCUUUCCCGGUGGUUCGUUGCCUGGAGACGAUGGCGGAGAAAGAAAACAGAGCAGCGAUUCCGGCAGCGACAUUGGCGUGUUGGGUUGCCGGUAGUGAUGAGGCGAUGACAGGUAGUCUGGCAGAGGGAGCAGCUCUUAGAGACCGAGGUUCUUCGACCGUCCGGCGUAUGCGGUGGUUAAUUGGACACAGGGGCGCGGAGGUUAAGUGGCGGUGUUGUAAUUUCAUCCAAUAUUGAUUAAACAAAAACGCCGGGGCCAGAGAUUGUUUUGGGUCGCCAAGAGACUGUUGCCUCCAGAGCUCGCUCGUCGGAGCUAUAGGUUGGUGAUGGCUUGUUUUUGAUUGAUGGGUCAAUGGAGAGGCCCCUGUGGUUAUUUGCUUCGGAUCUGCUGUCAUUUGGUCCCGACGAGUGAUCGGCGGUCCCCGGCUCCGGCUGUCUUCAGCAGGUCACGAAAAGGAAAGGCCGGUGGUGCCUCGUCGGGUGCCUGGAACUAGUAGCGACUGGUGGUUGAAAUCCCUGGUUAUGAUUGUUUUUUAUUUUUGUGUUCCUCAUUGGAGUCCGUCUACACAGGAAGACGAUGUUGUUGGGUCAUCGGUACGCCCGAUCUGGUGGUUGUUGUCGGUUGAAUGGAAAGGGUGAGUCGGGUUACUCCAAAGGAGCGUUGACCAAAUGCGCCCCAUUUUGCCUCUUCUGUAUCUUUCAAAAUGCUUGGAUCCCACCUACACUUACGCUGCAUAUGACACACCAGCUGUAUUUUGUCUUCUUCCUUUUUAUCUGGUAAAUUGGAGAGGCUAGAAUAAAUCUUUGAGUUAAAAAUAACAAAAUGUGGUCAGGUGGUUUUGGUGAGAAGGGAUAAACGAAUUUUUGGGGGUUUUAAGAAGUGUACAAUGGACAUAGCUUUGUGUACAAGCAAAAUAAUUACAGAGAUAGAGAUUUAUAAAAGAUUAUGAGCUUAAGUUA